GACGAACGCUGGCGGCGUGCUUAACACAUGCAAGUCGAACGGAAAGGCCCUGCUUUUGUGGGGUGCUCGAGUGGCGAACGGGUGAGUAACACGUGAGUAACCUGCCCUUGACUUUGGGAUAACUUCAGGAAACUGUGGCUAAUACCGGAUAGGAGCACCUGCUGCAUGGUGAGGGUUGGAAAGUUUCGGCGGUUGGGGUUGUACUCGCGGCUUCGUAGCUUGUUGGUGGGGUAGUGGCUUACCAAGGCUUUGACGGUUAGCCGGCCUGGGAGGGUGACCGGCCACAUAGUGCCACGGAUACGGGCCGGACUCCAACGGGAGGCAGCAGUGGGGAUUAGUGCACAAUGGGCCGAAGCCUGAUGCAGCAACGCCGCGUGCUGGAUGACUGCCUUCGGGUUGUAACCCGCGUUCGCCUGUAACGUAGAGUGAGUGACGGUAAUGGGUAAAGAAGCACCGGCUAACUACGUG
This 468-nucleotide ribosomal RNA is filed under the name uncultured bacterium. RNAcentral's name for it is "partial 16S ribosomal RNA". It matches the Rfam family "Bacterial small subunit ribosomal RNA", at positions 28 to 507 of the family's 1533-position model. The record is from RNAcentral.